GGAGCCAUGACUCAAUUGGUAAAGUGCCUACUUAGCAAGUGUGAGGCUCUGAGUUCAAACCUCAGUAUCCCCC
Molecule: transfer RNA, 73 nt
Filed under: Dipodomys ordii (Ord's kangaroo rat)
Lineage: Eukaryota; Metazoa; Chordata; Mammalia; Rodentia; Heteromyidae
Rfam family: tRNA
About the family: Transfer RNA (tRNA) molecules are approximately 80 nucleotides in length. Their secondary structure includes four short double-helical elements and three loops (D, anti-codon, and T loops).
Source: Rfam by way of RNAcentral